Molecule: ribosomal RNA, 484 nt
Filed under: uncultured bacterium
Lineage: Bacteria
Description: partial 16S ribosomal RNA
Rfam family: Bacterial small subunit ribosomal RNA
Source: RNAcentral
AUUGAACGCUGGCGGCAGGCCUAACACAUGCAAGUCGAGCGGAUGAAGGGAGCUUGCUCCUGGAUUCAGCGGCGGACGGGUGAGUAAUGCCUAGGAAUCUGCCUGGUAGUGGGGGAUAACGUCCGGAAACGGGCGCUAAUACCGCAUACGUCCUGAGGGAGAAAGUGGGGGAUCUUCGGACCUCACGCUAUCAGAUGAGCCUAGGUAGGAUUAGCUAGUUGGUGGGGUAAAGGCCUACCAAGGCGACGAUCCGUAACUGGUCUGAGAGGAGGAUCAGUCACACUGGAACUGAGACACGGUCCAGACUCCUACGGGAGGCAGCAGUGGGGAAUAUUGGACAAUGGGCGAAAGCCUGCUCCAGCCAUGCCGCGUGUGUGAAGAAGGUCUUCGGAUUGUAAAGCACUUUAAGUUGGGAGGAAGGGCAGUAAGUUAAUACCUUGCUGUUUUGACGUUACCAACAGAAUAAGCACCGGCUAACUUCGUG